This 427-nucleotide ribosomal RNA is filed under the name Hyalosphenia papilio. RNAcentral describes it as "SSU rRNA". It matches the Rfam family "Eukaryotic small subunit ribosomal RNA", at positions 1024 to 1451 of the family's 1831-position model. The record is from RNAcentral. Lineage: Eukaryota; Tubulinea; Elardia; Arcellinida; Hyalospheniidae.
UCGCAACUAUAAACUUUGUCGCCCAAGGGGUAGUGGUAGUUACAUGAUGACACCCCUAUAACUUUGUGAGAAAUCACAAGUAUUUGGACUCUGGGGGAAGUAUGGUCGCAAGGCUGAAACUUAAAGGAAUUGACGGAAGGGCACCACCAGGAGUGGAACCUGCGGCUUAAUUUGACUCAACACGGGGAAACUUACCAGGUCCAGACACAAUAAGGAUUGACAGAUUGAUAGCUCUUUCUUGAUUCUGUGGAAAGUGGUGCAUGGCCGUUUUUAGUUGGUGGAUUGAUUUGUCUGGUUAAUUCCGUUAACGAACGAGACCUAAACCUACUAACUAGUUAAUGGUAACUUGGACUCUAUAUUAGGGACCUCACCUUUAUCCAAACUUCUUAGAGGGACUCUUUAUACUUAGUGAAUGGAAGUUUUAGGC